Molecule: ribosomal RNA, 751 nt
Filed under: Bacillus licheniformis
Lineage: Bacteria; Bacillati; Bacillota; Bacilli; Caryophanales; Bacillaceae
Description: bacterial SSU rRNA
Rfam family: Bacterial small subunit ribosomal RNA
Source: RNAcentral
UAGGGCGGGGUGCUAUAAUGCAAGUCGAGCGGACAGAUGGGAGCUUGCUCCCUGAUGUUAGCGGCGGACGGGUGAGUAACACGUGGGUAACCUGCCUGUAAGACUGGGAUAACUCCGGGAAACCGGGGCUAAUACCGGAUGCUUGAUUGAACCGCAUGGUUCAAUUAUAAAAGGUGGCUUUUAGCUACCACUUACAGAUGGACCCGCGGCGCAUUAGCUAGUUGGUGAGGUAACGGCUCACCAAGGCAACGAUGCGUAGCCGACCUGAGAGGGUGAUCGGCCACACUGGGACUGAGACACGGCCCAGACUCCUACGGGAGGCAGCAGUAGGGAAUCUUCCGCAAUGGACGAAAGUCUGACGGAGCAACGCCGCGUGAGUGAUGAAGGUUUUCGGAUCGUAAAACUCUGUUGUUAGGGAAGAACAAGUACCGUUCGAAUAGGGCGGUACCUUGACGGUACCUAACCAGAAAGCCACGGCUAACUACGUGCCAGCAGCCGCGGUAAUACGUACGUGGCAAGCGUUGUUCGGAAAUAUUUGGGCGUAAAAGCGCGCGCAGGGCGGUUUCUUAAAUCUUGAUGUUGAAAGCCCCCGGGCUCAACCGGGGAAGGUCAUUGGGAAAUGGGGAAAUCUUGGGUGCAAAAAAAAGGGGAGGAGAAAUCUCACAAAUGGAAAAAGGGGUCUCCCCCCCGCUGUUUUCGGGCCCCCAAGGGGCGUUUAACGCGGGGAGAGUACCCUGUGUAAUAAGGUUGG